CCCAGAACACAUAAAAGUUCAGUAAAAGAAUUUUAAAGCAAUCUAAGCCUUCUGAACUUAUUACAAUUAAACAUCUUCACCAUAAAUCAUCUAUUCUUCAUACCUGAGAUGCCGAGCUUUCCGAAUGAGUCUUUGUUUUUCAAUUUGGAUCUUUUAUUUAAACUUCCGCAAUCAACUCUUCAAGACUCCAUUCAACUUUACGAAAUCCGCCAACCUAUAAAAUCCUUAACAAUCUCCCCCUUUGGCGAUUUCGUGACAAAAUAUACUACAAAGCUCGUACACAACUCAGAAAUAAUAAAAAGAAGAUCAUCGCAAUCACCGAACGACAAUCUCCUGCAUGAUCGAUCCAAUAAACGAAAAUUACAAUUUUCACAACCUUAAUACAGACUCUAUAACUUAGACAUGGA
Molecule: long non-coding RNA, 407 nt
Filed under: Ananas comosus (pineapple)
Lineage: Eukaryota; Viridiplantae; Streptophyta; Magnoliopsida; Poales; Bromeliaceae
Description: long non-coding RNA (ACOM_LNC029753)
Source: RNAcentral